RNAcentral lists this ribosomal RNA (380 nucleotides) under uncultured archaeon. RNAcentral's name for it is "bacterial SSU rRNA". It matches the Rfam family "Archaeal small subunit ribosomal RNA", at positions 473 to 853 of the family's 1478-position model. The record is from RNAcentral.
AUACCAGCUCUCCGAGUGGUGUGGACGUUUAUUGGGCCUAAAGCAUCCGUAGCUGGCUGAACAAGUCCCCUGUUAAACCCACCGAUUUAAUCGUUGGUGUGCGGGGGAUACUGCUCGGCUAGGGGACGAGAGAGGCAGACGGUAUUCCCGGGGUAGGGGUGAAAUCCUAUAAUCCCGAGAAGACCACCAGUGGCGAAGGCUGUCUGCUAGAACGCGCCCGACGGUGAGGGAUGAAAGCUGGGGGAGCGAACCGGAUUAGAUACCCGGGUAGUCCCAGCUGUAAACGAUGCAGACUAGGUGUUUGGACGGCCACGUGCCGUUCUAGUGCCGCAGGGAAGCUGUUAAGUCUGCCGCCUGGGGAGUACGAUCGCAAGAUUGAA